UCGCGCUCGUGGGCGACGCCGCCCACUGCGCGUCCCCUCUCGCGGGUCGGGGCGCGUCCCUGGCGCUGACCGGGGCUCAGUUCCUCGCUGAGGAGCUCGAAC
Molecule: transfer RNA, 102 nt
Filed under: Saccharothrix coeruleofusca
Lineage: Bacteria; Bacillati; Actinomycetota; Actinomycetes; Pseudonocardiales; Pseudonocardiaceae
Description: tRNA-Glu
Source: RNAcentral